UACGAAGGGGGCUAGCGUUGUUCGGAAUUACUGGGCGUAAAGCGCGCGCAGGCGGCUAUCCAAGUCAGUGGUGAAAGCCCGGAGCUCAACUCCGGAACUGCUAUUGAAACUGUUUAGCUUGAGGAUGAGAGAGGUGAGUGGAAUUCCCAGUGUAGAGGUGAAAUUCGUAGAUAUUGGGAAGAACACCGGUGGCGAAGGCGGCUCACUGGCUCAUUACUGACGCUCAGGCGCGAUAGCGUGGGGAUCAAACAGG
This 253-nucleotide ribosomal RNA is filed under the name uncultured bacterium. Its description in RNAcentral is "partial 16S ribosomal RNA". It matches the Rfam family "Bacterial small subunit ribosomal RNA", at positions 524 to 776 of the family's 1533-position model. The record is from RNAcentral.